GCGCCCGUAGCUCAGCUGGAUAGAGCGUCGGUCUACGGAACCGAAGGUCGCAGGUUCGAAUCCUGCCGGGCGUG
This 74-nucleotide transfer RNA is filed under the name Thermoleophilaceae bacterium. Its description in RNAcentral is "tRNA-Arg". It matches the Rfam family "tRNA". From Rfam's summary of the family: Transfer RNA (tRNA) molecules are approximately 80 nucleotides in length. Their secondary structure includes four short double-helical elements and three loops (D, anti-codon, and T loops). Further hydrogen bonds mediate the characteristic L-shaped molecular structure. tRNAs have two regions of fundamental functional importance: the anti-codon, which is responsible for specific mRNA codon recognition, and the 3' end, to which the tRNAs corresponding amino acid is attached (by aminoacyl-tRNA synthetases). tRNAs cope with the degeneracy of the genetic code in two manners: having more than one tRNA (with a specific anti-codon) for a particular amino acid; and 'wobble' base-pairing, i.e. permitting non-standard base-pairing at the 3rd anti-codon position. Lineage: Bacteria; Bacillati; Actinomycetota; Thermoleophilia; Thermoleophilales; Thermoleophilaceae. The record is from RNAcentral. RNAcentral also lists the same sequence under 1 other name.